GGGGUCGUGGCCUAGCUUGGUUUAUGGCACUGGCUUCGGGCGCCAGAGUCCCUUAAAAGGCUGAAGGUCGUGGGUUCAAAUCCCACCGACCCCA
Molecule: transfer RNA, 94 nt
Filed under: Nitrososphaerales archaeon
Lineage: Archaea; Thermoproteati; Nitrososphaerota; Nitrososphaeria; Nitrososphaerales
Description: tRNA-Pro
Rfam family: tRNA
About the family: Transfer RNA (tRNA) molecules are approximately 80 nucleotides in length. Their secondary structure includes four short double-helical elements and three loops (D, anti-codon, and T loops).
Source: RNAcentral